AGUGAACGCUGGCGGUAGGCCUAACACAUGCAAGUCGAACGGCAGCACAGUAAGAGCUUGCUCUUACGGGUGGCGAGUGGCGGACGGGUGAGGAAUACAUCGGAAUCUACUUUUUCGUGGGGGAUAACGUAGGGAAACUUACGCUAAUACCGCAUACGACCUACGGGUGAAAGCAGGGGAUCUUCGGACCUUGCGCGAUUGAAUGAGCCGAUGUCGGAGUAGCUAGUUGGCGGGGUAAAGGCCCACCAAGGCGACGAUCCGUAGCUGGUCUGAGAGGAUGAUCAGCCACACUGGAACUGAGACACGGUCCAGACUCCUACGGGAGGCAGCAGUGGGGAAUAUUGGACAAUGGGCACAAGCCUGAUCCAGCCAUACCGCGUGGGUGAAGAAGGCCUUCGGGUUGUAAAGCCCUUUUGUUGGGAAAGAAAAGCAGCAGGUUAAUACCCCGCUGUUCUGACGGUACCCAAAGAAUAAGCACCGGCUAACUUCGUG
RNAcentral lists this ribosomal RNA (492 nucleotides) under uncultured bacterium. RNAcentral's name for it is "partial 16S ribosomal RNA". It matches the Rfam family "Bacterial small subunit ribosomal RNA", at positions 29 to 507 of the family's 1533-position model. The record is from RNAcentral.